RNAcentral lists this unclassified non-coding RNA (230 nucleotides) under uncultured fungus. RNAcentral's name for it is "sequence contains ITS2". The stretch from base 1 to 52 matches the Rfam family "5.8S ribosomal RNA", at positions 103 to 154 of the family's 154-position model. Lineage: Eukaryota; Fungi. The record is from RNAcentral.
AACGCAACUUGCGCCCUCUGGUAUUCCGGAGGGCAUGCCUGUUUGAGUGUCAUGUAGACUCAUCUACUCAGAUUUUUAUCUGAGCAAGGUGGAUUUGGAGGUUUUGCCUUUUGGCUCCUCUCAAAAGCAUUGUGCAGACGUGAUAAGUUUCGUCGUAACGCACAUUCGCCCCUCUGGGCAACUACUUGUACUCUGACCUCAAAUCAGGUAGGGCUACCCGCUGAACUUAA